RNAcentral lists this ribosomal RNA (429 nucleotides) under uncultured bacterium. RNAcentral describes it as "bacterial SSU rRNA". It matches the Rfam family "Bacterial small subunit ribosomal RNA", at positions 355 to 775 of the family's 1533-position model. The record is from RNAcentral.
UAGGGAAUAUUGCGCAAUGGAGGAAACUCUGACGCAGCGACGCCGCGUGGGUGAUGAAGGCUUUCGGGUCGUAAAGCCCUGUCGGAAGGGACGAAACACGAUGUGGCUAAUAUCCACGUCGAUUGACGGUACCUUAAGAGGAAGCACCGGCUAACUACGUGCCAGCAGCCGCGGUAAUACGUAGGGUGCAAGCGUUGUUCGGAAUCAUUGGGCGUAAAGCGCGUGUAGGCUGCUAUCUAAGUCGGGUGUGAAAUCCCAUGGCUCAACCAUGGAAGUGCAUUCGAAACUGGAUGGCUAGAGAGUGGUAGAGGAAGGUGGAAUUCCAAGUGUAGAGGUGAAAUUCGUAGAUAUUUGGAGGAAUACCGGUGGCGAAGGCGGCCUUCUGGGCCACUUCUGACGCUGAGACGCGAAAGCGUGGGGAGCAAACAG